This 207-nucleotide ribosomal RNA is filed under the name uncultured bacterium. RNAcentral's name for it is "partial 16S ribosomal RNA". It matches the Rfam family "Bacterial small subunit ribosomal RNA", at positions 568 to 774 of the family's 1533-position model. The record is from RNAcentral.
CGCGUAGGUGGUUUGGUAAGCGAGAUGUGAAAGCCCCGGGCUUAACCUGGGAACGGCAUUUCGAACUGUCAGGCUAGAGUAUGGUAGAGGGUAGUGGAAUUUCCUGUGUAGCGGUGAAAUGCGUAGAUAUAGGAAGGAACACCAGUGGCGAAGGCGGCUACCUGGACCAAUACUGACACUGAGGUGCGAAAGCGUGGGGAGCAAACA